UUUUUAGUAUAAGUAUAUCCUAUGCAAUAUUUGGGAUAUACUUAUACUAAAA
Molecule: non-coding RNA, 52 nt
Organism: Equus caballus (horse)
Lineage: Eukaryota; Metazoa; Chordata; Mammalia; Perissodactyla; Equidae
Source: Rfam